RNAcentral lists this long non-coding RNA (212 nucleotides) under Elaeis guineensis (African oil palm). Its description in RNAcentral is "long non-coding RNA (EGUI_LNC081699)". The record is from RNAcentral. Lineage: Eukaryota; Viridiplantae; Streptophyta; Magnoliopsida; Arecales; Arecaceae.
AUUUGUAACUGCCUGGUAGUGGGCCGUUCGGGGCCACGCAGAGUUUGUUACGGAGAGUAGUGGCGUCAUGGGGCCAUUCAAGGUCACGUGGAGUUUGUUAUGGAGAGUGGAGUGGUAUCCAUUGUCACGACUUGCUAGAGAGUGGUGGGGUCAUGUGAAAUCUGUUACAGAGAGUGGAGUGGGGUAGUGGCCAUUGUCGCGACUUGCCUGAG